CCCCUAGAUGUUCUGGGCCGCACGCGCGCUACACUGAACAGUUCAACAAGUCUUAACCUUGGCCGAUAGGUCUGGGUAAUCUUUGAACGCUGUUCGUGAUUGGGAUAGACCUUUGCAAUUAUGGGUCCUCAACGAGGAAUUCCUAGUAAACGCAAGUCAUCAGCUUGCAUUGAUUACGUCCCUGCCCUUUGUACACACCGCCCGUCGCACCUACCGAUUGAUGGUCCGGUGAAAUCUCGGGACGGCGGCUUGGUCGCUUGCGUCCGACUGCUGAAACUUGAUUAAACCAUAUCAUUUAGAGGAAGGUGAANUCGUAACA
Molecule: ribosomal RNA, 319 nt
Filed under: uncultured eukaryote
Lineage: Eukaryota
Description: partial 18S ribosomal RNA
Rfam family: Eukaryotic small subunit ribosomal RNA
Source: RNAcentral